Molecule: ribosomal RNA, 253 nt
Filed under: uncultured bacterium
Lineage: Bacteria
Description: partial 16S ribosomal RNA
Rfam family: Bacterial small subunit ribosomal RNA
Source: RNAcentral
UACGGAGGGUGCGAGCGUUGUCCGGAAUCACUGGGCGUAAAGGGCGCGUAGGCGGCGCGGAUAGUCGGCGGUGAAAGCCCGGAGCUCAACUCCGGGUCGGCCGUCGAUACUUCCGGGCUUGAGCACUGUAGAGGCAGAUGGAAUUCCGGGUGUAGCGGUGGAAUGCGUAGAGAUCCGGAAGAACACCGGUGGCGAAGGCGGCUACCUGGACCGGUUCUGACGCUGAGGCGCGAAAGCGUGGGUAGCAAACAGG